This is a long non-coding RNA of Leptinotarsa decemlineata (Colorado potato beetle), 555 nucleotides long. NCBI's taxonomy places the organism in Eukaryota, Metazoa, Arthropoda, Insecta, Coleoptera, Chrysomelidae. The record is from RefSeq and is a predicted model, not a curated record.
AAACAAACAGAUUUACAUGCGCGCACACGUGAACCACUUAUAAAUAUUGCUACAUGAAUCGAGUAGUAAUUUGCAAACUAAGAAAAAUAUCCCGAAGAACGACAUAACAAUAAAAAUUUCCUGAUUAAUUAUGAAACACUUUUGAAGCAGUGAAGGGAAGAACUAAUUUUCAGUGAAAAACAAAGAUUUCAUUGUGCUUUCACGAUUUGUUCUAGGGAUGUAAAAAUUAUCCUGGUUUCUGGUUAGGUUUUCCAUGAUUUUGGUGUCAAAGGAUCUGUCGCCAAUGACAUCACUCUGACAUGAGGCAAGCUUGCCCAAUACACUGGCCACGAGCUAAAGAGCAGUGCAACCUCGAUUUCCUGCAUCCACAUCGCGAACCACAAUCCCUCUUGCAGUUACAGAACGAAGAUGAUCAAUACUCUCUACAGAUUUUGGAGCAAUAUAGACUGCGAACAAGAUUUGAAUCCCAUUCACAAAUAAUCUUUCAUUUUUUUCAAAGCGCAGAAAUAGAAAUUAUUAAUAGUUUUGUGAAUACCAAUAUUUAAUAAACUUUAU